This 500-nucleotide ribosomal RNA is filed under the name uncultured bacterium. RNAcentral describes it as "partial 16S ribosomal RNA". It matches the Rfam family "Bacterial small subunit ribosomal RNA", at positions 30 to 523 of the family's 1533-position model. The record is from RNAcentral.
AUUGAACGCUGGCGGCAUGCCUUACACAUGCAAGUCGAACGGCAGCACGGGAGCAAUCCUGGUGGCGAGUGGCGAACGGGUGAGUAAAGUAUCGGAACGUGCCCAGUCGUGGGGGAUAACGUAGCGGAAGUUACGCUAAUACCGCAUACGAUCUAUGGAUGAAAGCGGGGGAUCGCAAGACCUCGCGCGAUUGGAGCGGCCGAUAUCAGAUUAGGUAGUUGGUGGGGUAAAGGCCCACCAAGCCGACGAUCUGUAGCUGGUCUGAGAGGACGACCAGCCACACUGGGACUGAGACACGGCCCAGACUCCUACGGGAGGCAGCAGUGGGGAAUUUUGGACAAUGGGCGAAAGCCUGAUCCAGCCAUGCCGCGUGCAGGAUGAAGGCCUUCGGGUUGUAAACUGCUUUUGUACGGAACGAAAAGGACUGCCCUAAUACGGUCGUCCCAUGACGGUACCGUAAGAAUAAGCACCGGCUAACUACGUGCCAGCAGCCGCAGUAA